This 466-nucleotide ribosomal RNA is filed under the name uncultured bacterium. RNAcentral describes it as "partial 16S ribosomal RNA". It matches the Rfam family "Bacterial small subunit ribosomal RNA", at positions 28 to 506 of the family's 1533-position model. The record is from RNAcentral.
GAUGAACGCUGGCGGCGUGCUUAACACAUGCAAGUCGAACGGAAAGGCCCAAGCUUGCUUGGGUCCUCGAGUGGCGAACGGGUGAGUAUCACGUGGGUGAUCUGCCCUGCACUUCGGGAUACGCCUGGGAAACUGGGUCUAAUACCGGAUAGGACCACAUUUUGGAUGGUGUGGUGGAAAGUUUUUCGGUGUGGGAUGAGCUCGCGGCCUAUCAGCUUGUUGGUGGGGUAAUGGCCUACCAAGGCGUCGACGGGUAGCCGGCCUGGGAGGGUGUACGGCCACAUUGGGACUGAGAGACGGCGCAGACGCCUACGGGAGGCAGUAGAGGGGAAUAUGGCACAAUGAGCGCAAGCCUGAGGCGGCGACGCCGCGUGGGGGAUGACGGCCUUCGGGUGGAAAACUCCUUUCGCUGGGGACGAAGCGUUUUUGGGACGGAACCUGGAGAAGAAGCACCGGCUAACUACGU